Molecule: ribosomal RNA, 498 nt
Filed under: uncultured bacterium
Lineage: Bacteria
Description: partial 16S ribosomal RNA
Rfam family: Bacterial small subunit ribosomal RNA
Source: RNAcentral
GACGAACGCUGGCGGCGUGCCUAAUACAUGCAAGUCGAACGGGAGCGACCGGUGCUUGCACUGGCCAAUCUAGUGGCGAACGGGUGAGUAACACGUGGGUAACCUGCCCAUCAGAGGGGGAUAACAUCCGGAAACGGAUGCUAAAACCGCAUAGGUCUUCGAACCGCAUGGUUUGAAGAGGAAAAGAGGCGCAAGCUUCUGCUGAUGGAUGGACCCGCGUUGCAUUAGCUAGUUGGUGAGGUAACGACUCACCAAGGCCGUGAUGCAUAGCCGACCUGAGAGGGUGAUCGGCCACAUUGGGACUGAGACACGGCCCAAACUCCUACGGGAGGCAGCAGUAGGGAAUCUUCCGCAAUGGACGCAAGUCUGACGGAGCAACGCCGCGUGAGUGAAGAAGGUUUUCGGAUCGUAAAACUCUGUUGUUAGAGAAGAACAAGUGCUAGAGUAACUGUUAGCGCCUUGACGGUAUCUAACCAGAAAGCCACGGCUAACUACGUG